GCAUGAACUUAGCUUGCUAAGUUUGAUGGCGACCGGCGCACGGGUGAGUAACACGUAUCCAACCUGCCGAUGACUCGGGGAUAGCCUUUCGAAAGAAAGAUUAAUACCCGAUGGCAUAGUUCUUCCGCAUGGUAGAACUAUUAAAGAAUUUCGGUCAUCGAUGGGGAUGCGUUCCAUUAGGUUGUUGGCGGGGUAACGGCCCACCAAGCCUUCGAUGGAUAGGGGUUCUGAGAGGAAGGUCCCCCACAUUGGAACUGAGACACGGUCCAAACUCCUACGGGAGGCAGCAGUGAGGAAUAUUGGUCAAUGGACGAGAGUCUGAACCAGCCAAGUAGCGUGAAGGAUGACUGCCCUAUGGGUUGUAAACUUCUUUUAUACGGGAAUAAAGUGAGGCACGUGUGCCUUUUUGUAUGUACCGUAUGAAUAAGGAUCGGCUAACUCCGUGCCAGCAGCCGCGGUAAUACGGAGGAUCCGAGCGUUAUCCAGAUUUAUUGGGUUUAAAGGGAGCGUAGGCGGACGCUUAAGUCAGUUGUGAAAGUUUGCGGCUCAACCGUAAAAUUGCAGUUGAUACUGGGUGUCUUGAGUACAGUAGAGGCAGGCGGAAUUCGUGGUGUAGCGGUGAAAUGCUUAGAUAUCACGAAGACUCCGAUUGCGAAGGCAGCCUGCUGGACUGUAACUGACGCUG
Molecule: ribosomal RNA, 685 nt
Filed under: uncultured Bacteroidales bacterium
Lineage: Bacteria; Pseudomonadati; Bacteroidota; Bacteroidia; Bacteroidales
Description: bacterial SSU rRNA
Rfam family: Bacterial small subunit ribosomal RNA
Source: RNAcentral